ACCCGCUGAACUUAAGCAUAUCAAUAAGCGGAGGAAAAGAAACCAACAGGGAUUGCUCUAGUAACGGCGAGUGAAGCAGCAAUAGCUCAAAUUUGAAAUCUGGCGUCUUCGGCGUCCGAGUUGUAAUUUGUAGAGGAUGCUUCUGAGUAACCACCGACCUAAGUUCCUUGGAACAGGACGUCAUAGAGGGUGAGAAUCCCGUAUGCGGUCGGAAAGGUGCUCUAUACGUAGCUCCUUCGACGAGUCGAGUUGUUUGGGAAUGCAGCUCUAAAUGGGAGGUAAAUUUCUUCUAAAGCUAAAUAUUGGCCAGAGACCGAUAGCGCACAAGUAGAGUGAUCGAAAGAUGAAAAGCACUUUGGAAAGAGAGUUAAAAAGCACGUGAAAUUGUUAAAAGGGAAGGGAUUGCAACCAGACUUGCUCGCGGUGUUCCGCCGGUCUUCUGACCGGUCUACUCGCCGCGUUGCAGGCCAGCAUCGUCUGGUGCCGCUGGAUAAGACUUGAGGAAUGUAGCUCCCUCGGGAGUGUUAUAGCCUCUUGUGAUGCAGCGAGCGCCGGGCGAGGUCCGCGCUCGGCUAGGAUGCUGCUAAACGUCCAUUGGGUGGAU
RNAcentral lists this ribosomal RNA (604 nucleotides) under Cladosporium sp. FGCC-BLS2. Its description in RNAcentral is "eukaryotic LSU rRNA". It matches the Rfam family "Eukaryotic large subunit ribosomal RNA", at positions 23 to 538 of the family's 3401-position model. Lineage: Eukaryota; Fungi; Ascomycota; Dothideomycetes; Cladosporiales; Cladosporiaceae. The record is from RNAcentral.